Molecule: long non-coding RNA, 14336 nt
Filed under: Triticum aestivum (bread wheat)
Lineage: Eukaryota; Viridiplantae; Streptophyta; Magnoliopsida; Poales; Poaceae
Description: long non-coding RNA (TAES_LNC027143)
Source: RNAcentral
GACAUAAAAGUGAUCUAACUCUAUUGAUGAGCACGACAGUACAUACCAUCCCAUCAUGAUGUUGCCAUCUCUCACACUUGAUGAUUACAUCUUGUUAUUUCUAACAUGUACACCAUCGGGCCAUUGCUUUAUUAGAAAUAUAUUUACACAAUAUGAUGAGAGCAACAUCAAGGAGUCGGAUGCUGGUGCACAGAUUCUCCUCAAAUUCCACAUGCAACCCUUGUAGAGAAGAAUGACAUAUUUUUCUUAGGUGAUUUUUGACCGAGCUCCUACAGAAAAAUUCAAACAAAUCAUGAGGAGCAUGGAGCCAAGCAAACUAAUCAGAGUAAAUCAUGAGAGGAGAAGCCUCUCAACCUACUACAGGGAAUCGAGUCAACAUUAAUUCGUGUAAGAAUUAAACCGUAAUGUAGAUCAACAACCCAGUAGUUGAUAAAAUAACCCUGACACAACCCAUUAAUACAAUAUAUGGUCACAGGAAGUAGAUUGAGAUUGUGCAGAUAUCAUGAUCUACGAACCGUAUCUACGAAUAUUGAUUGCAAAGUCACAAAUAGAACCUCCUCACAUCACAAAACAAAUGUUUCAUCAACAGAAACUCUAGCGAAUGCCAAUUGGAUUAUAUAAGUAAGAUAGAGACAUCGAAAAAAAGAAAAGAUAAUUCAAAGAGUAUAUAUUCUAUUUUAUUACUUGACAUCACAGAGAAUGCAAGUCAAAGAUAUUGCGAUACAUCUUACACUUCUAUAAAUUGACUGCAAGGCACAACCCCUAGCAAAAUAUACAGAAUGAAUUGCUCCUGUGAUCCAAGUAUUGCAUAAAUAGUUGUAUACAGACUAUUCAAUAGUGAGCAUAAACAUGGCAUGUACUAACAAAAUCCCUUUGCAAUGGAGCUUAGUCUGCAUGUCUAUCCGUCUUUUUGUAAAUCAGUUGUGGCCAAGAUGUGCUGACAGCUCACAAGCCUCUCCCCGUUUACCAAUAAAACCAAAGCAGCUCAAAGCAAAAAAAAGAACAUAGAUAUAUGAACCUGAUGCAAUUGCUUGUAACUCCAGAGUGUUGGUAGAGUCGAGAAGAGAACACUCAGCCAAUGUUACAGCAGAUCGAUCUGUAGUCUUUGUUAGGGACGGCACCAUCAUUAGAGGUCCCAAUUGUAAAUCAAUCUGCAAGAGAUGGAGAUGCAACUGGAAGCUUACGGAUUUGAUGCAUUAAAACAGCCAUGGCCCAUGGGCAGAGGAGAAGUGACGGCAGCUGGGGAUCUGACGUGUCACAGACAGCAUGGGUAGAGGAGAGGCGGCGGCAGAUCAAGCCUUGGGCGUGGCAGGCGGAAGCACACUCACCCCUAUUGCACCCUUCCUACUUCCCCGUCCUUCUUCUCCUACCUCUCCUCCUCCCUGGAUCCUCCUAUGUCUCUCUUUUCUACAAGAAAAAUCGAAGCCCCGCCAUGACCUUGAGCUCCCCCUACCAACCAUAGAAAUUAGAUAUUUCCUAAUUGUUUGCAUAAAAAACAUACUGGCUGCAAGAGAAUGAAAGACUAACCUAUUGAUGAGCACAACAGUACAUACCAUCCCAUUAUGAUGUUGCCAUCUCUCACACUUGAUGAUUACAUCUUUUUAUUUCUAACAUGUACACCACCGGGCGAUUGCUUUAUUAGAAAUAUAUUUACACAAUAUGAUCAGAGCAACAUCAAGGAGUCGGAUGCUGGUGCACAGAUUCUCCUCAAAUUCCACAAGCUGAAAUUGAAGAGAAAACUGAAAGAAAGCUAUUAGUAACACCAAUUUAACCAGACACACCACACCACUAAUGACAAAAUAAAAAUUUAGAAGUUCCUAAAGAGGCCUUAUAUAUAAGAAGUGCAAGAUAGUGAUGAAACUACCAAAGCCACCAGAUCUUAGUACAGAUUAGUUAAGUAGACACUACUAUUUAGUAAGGAUGAACUAUAUUAUGGAUUUGAUUGGAAUAAGAAAAUAUCCUAUAAUAGCAUAUUAUACAAAGGCACAUAAAACAAUAAAGAGAAGUAAAAGUGGUAGUGAUGAACUUAUAAUAAUAAUAAUAAAUAGAUAGCACAUGACUCUUUUUAUACGACUUAUCAGCAGAAUCAGUGAGCCACAAUGGAGUUUUCUUGGGCUCAGGCUUUCUGCACACUGCCAUAUAGACCAAGUCAAACAUGGGUGGGCGGCCAAGAAUGUUGGGUUAUAGUUUUACAGAUAAAGAGAGGAGAAAUCACUUUGGCCUAUGAGCACAUCAUAAGAGAAGGCAACAUCACACACACAUAAGUACUUGUAACUGAAUUUAAGGAGGGCACAAUAUGUUGACAUAGGUGUGCCUACCAAAAAGAAAUGUCUAAAUGAAGAAAAAUCAAGUGUUUAGUAAUAUAAUACUACAAUGAUGAUGCAGACUAAAGUCUAAAUCAUCAAUGGUAAAUCCAUGGCACACAAAAAUUCUUCUCCAUAAUUGAUUUGCUCUCUUCAUCCAAAUGCCCAAACUCAUCACAACAUAGCAAAAUAGCCUGAAUGGAAUAAACCAUAUCUGAACCAUCAUAUGCAAUACACGAACCAUGUACUGAACUUAAUUGAUGUAUUACUACUGAACAUAGCAGAUUAGUCUCUAUGUGCAUGUAUUACUAAUUUACAGCUGAGCAGCCACUCUAAUGUAAUGAACUUAAGAACUGUUUGUUCCUCUUAAGCAACCCUGCAGUUUUCAUGAAAACUUUGGUUGUAGUGGUCCUAAAAUCACAGAUACAUGUACCUCUACAUCCACUUGGAGCUUCUUUGCAGCUUCCUCUCUAUGUUGCUAGACCAAUCUGCAGAUAAAAAAGGAUAAGGUAAAUAAUUGUUGUUUUAUUUGCCAAUAAUCAAACAACUAUGAUAUAGUAAGAAAAAAGUUAGUGGAGGUAUGGGAAGGACAAGUAGUUCUACUACACACAGAUGAUUAGGGGUCAGAGGGAAUUCAAGAUAAACCAAGACAAACUUCAAAAUUUAGUCCUAUAGUUGAACAUCAAAUUCAAAGCAAACGGGGAAGAAUCAAUGGGUCAGGGGUAAGGAUGCAACUGUGUGGGGGGGGGACAGCCCACUAAGCCGCUGCGCCGUCCCAUGAAGAAAACCCGCAAAACGGCGCCGGACCAACCACAUCAUGUCAAGCGGUCUCAAAUAGUCCAACCGCUUUGUCCAGCGGACGUCGCACAGUCUCGUGUAUCCUGCGAAAGGGAGAAAACUCUCCUGAGAAUUCCUGUCCUUCUCGACGCGAUAGAGGUGCGCGACUGUAUUGUAUAACAGGCUCAUCCAGUGUCCACAUUUCCCUAUGUGCAGUAGAAGAUAAAACUGAAUCAAAUCGAAGGUUCCCGUGCAUUGCAACUGGAUGACAAAAUAGACACAUGUGUAUACUUUGAUAAAAGAGAGUGUCAGUGUCAAAACCGGCGGAUCUCAGGUAGGGGGUCUCGAACUGUGCGUCUAGGCGGAUGGUAACAGGAGACAAGGGACACGAUGUUUUACCCAGGUUCGGGCCCUCUUGAUGGAGAUAAAACCCUACGUCCUGCUUGAUUAAUAUUGAUGAUAUGGGUAGUACAAGAGUGGAUCUACCACGAGAUCAAGGAGGCUAAACCCUAAAGCUAGCCUAUGGUAUGAUUGUUGUAAUGUAUGUUGUGUCCUACGGACUAAAGCCCUCCGGUUUAUAUAGACACCGGAGGAGGCUAGGGUUACACAGAGUCGGUUACAAUGGUAGGAGAUCUACAUAUCCGUAUCGCCAAGCUUGCCUUCCACGCCAAGGAAAGUCCCAUCCGGACACGGGACGGAGUCUUCAAUCUUGUAUCUUCGUAGUCUUGGAGUCUGGCGGAUGAUGAUAGUCCGGCUGUCCGGACACCCCCUAGUCCAGGACUCCCUCAGUAGCCCCCGAACCAGGCUUCAAUGACGAUAAGUCCAGCGCGUAUAUAGUCUUCGGCGUUGCAAGGCGGGUUCUCCCUUCAAGUUCCAUGUACCUGCCGAACAGUGUCCGGCUUCAUUAUAAAUACCGUGCUUCUUGGCUUCUACGCCCAAUAAUGGCCCUCCUCCAUGCGUCGCACGAAUGCGAAAAGCCAGGGUGUCUUUUUAUGUUUCACCCCCUAGUCGUGCGAGUCAUCCGCCUACAAAAGAGGCAAAAAUCCAGAUCCAAACCACACCAUCUUCCUUCCACGAAUACUCAUCGGAGCGCUUUUGACCUAAAAAUCCAUUCCAUCAUGGACCGUCGACGCGGCUCCUCUUCUCGCACUCCCAGCCCACAACCUGGAGAUUGGAAGAGGUGCUCUGUUACACACGACGAGCUAGUAAAGCUCCAAGCGGGGGGAUAUCUCCCUCCGGCCUUCAUGGUCCCGGUUCGAGCCGGGCUAGCCACCUACCAAGGUGGGAAGCAAGCGGAGGCUACCCCAAGUCCCAACAAAGGGGAGCGGGUAUGCUUCGUCCCCUAUCUGAUAAGUGGACUCGGAUUUCCAAUUCAUCCGUUCCUCCGCGGGCUCCUAGAGUUCUACGGACUCCAGCUCCAUCACCUUACGCCCGCCUCUGUCCUGCAUAUCGCGGGCUACGUAGCUCUUUGCGAGCUAUUCCUGGGCAUUGAGCCCCAUUUUGCACUGUGGAAGAGGCUGUUCUGCCUCGUGCCCCGUUCUCACGAGGGAUCUAUAUAUCAAGUGGGCGGCGCCGAAAUAUGGCGCAUUGCUGGGACCGGAUACCCAUCCGAUACCCCUAAGAAGGCGUCCGAAGACUGGCCUUCGGAGUGGUUUUAUAUAGAAGACGCUCCGCUGCCAGACCCAGUCCGGAUUGGCCUCCCGGAGUUUAGUGCUGCUCCUCUGAAGAAACGCCUCAGCUGGCGACCGCGGAGCCCCCGAUUGGAGGAAGACAAGAGCGUCCAUUACCUGAUGGGCCGAAUAAGAUUACUGGCCCAUUCCGGGUUGACCAUGAUUGGAGUCAUGACAACAUGCAUCAUGCGGGGGGUACAGCCAUUGCAAUACAGAGGCCACCCCAUGUGGGAUUUCAACGGGGAAGACGAUGCCACCCGUCAUGGCCGCGAAGGGCCGGAUUUGACCGAGGAUCUGGUGGAGAUCCUGUCCGGCCUGUACAAGGGGGAGAAGGAGGACUUCCUUCGAACGAACCCCUUGAAUGGGUUUUCCAUGAACAACCCCAGAGGCUGGGUAAGCGAACACUUUUAGGGGUUCAACCCAUGCUUUCGAAGUUUAGGCUUCUUACAUUAUGUCUUCGGCGCAGGAUCUACGCCGGACUGUGGAGGACAUGGUAAGUCCCGCUCCUCAACCCGAGGAUCCAGAAAGAUCCCGAGAUCCGGCCUCCGAAGAGGAUCCGGACAUCAAGGUGGAGCUGAUCGACGGGGUGUUUUACCAGCUUAGCAUGGACAAUGCUUUGGUCGCCAUUACGGCGGACUACCCCGGAUUAUAUCCGGCUUCCCAGGUGAUUGUGACCGAGGUUCGAACACCAUUAUCUCUUCCUUGCCCAUUUCUGACCUUCAUGAACGAUGGUGUUUUACAGGAAGCACCUUCAAGGCGGGAAGCCGAGCCCGCGGCGGCUGACCAACAAAGGUCAGUCCGGACCAGCAGGCGGAAAAGGAGCGCGGUACGGACUGAGACAUCGCCGCAAAGGUAUAGCUCGUAUUUUGAAUAUCCAGAGCAACGUUCCUAGGAAGCGUCUGAGUGCUCAAUAUCCUUUAUAGGAGAAAAAGCGCCCACCGAACUGCGGGCAUAGAGGUUGCCAAUCCAGCCUAUACCAGCCAGGCUCCAGCGCCUGGUCAGGAGGGGGAGGCAAGCGCAAGGCGCGGGCCGGAUACUCCUCCGACGGAGGAUGCCGACCGACUGUCCGCCACCAAGUCUGAGGUGGAGAGCGCCAUGAACCACAGGCGCCGCCGGACAGUAUUUCGUGAAGCGUGCUUCUCCCCUGAGGCAUUGGACGCCUUUAACGCAGGGGACGCGCACCUCCGUGCUGCUCAAGACGGUUUUACCAGAGCCACGGAGCAGUAUGUAAAAGAUAUACGGGUAAGGGAAUUUUAAUGGUUAUAUAUACCAGUAGCCCCCGAGACUUAAAGUAGUUAUGUUAACUGAUUUAAGGAUCAUUUGAAACGCAGGCUCUUACCGAGAAGAAUACCCAGCUGUCUCAGGAGCUGCAAGAAUGCAAGGCCCAACUUGAGGCCGCGCUUGCUGCCGCAGGAGGAAACGCAGAGGCCCCUCCUGGUAACACAUUUUUAUUAAUAAAUAUAAGCGAUGUGCGGCGUGCGCACAAGUCUAAUAAUGACAUUGCAGGUGCCGCCGGACAAGAUCUAGACAGGCAAGUAUUACUGCGCCAGCUAAAGGCCGGCGAGAGUGUGCUGAAUAGGGUGCAGCAAGAAAGGAACAGGCUCCAGGAUGCCAACGCCAAGCUCGGAGAAGAGCUGAAAGGCGCUCGAGCCGAGCUGUCCGGCUCCGUUAAGGAGAAUCAGCGGCUUCGCCGCGGCAUUUAUAGUAAGUGCUUGAGCGGACUCCUUUAAAAAGAAGAGUUCGGCGAAGAAGCAAAUUGACAUAGUAUGACUUGUAGGUAUACUCACAGGUCGCCCUGCGGAGGAGAUGCCCAUAUCAACGGGUGAUCAACUUCCCGAGCUGUUGCAGCUGCUCGAACGAGUUCGGCAGGCAAUGAGCAGCGUCGUCCAGGCUUUAUGGCCUGCUCUCUCCCUACCCGAAGGCCUUAGGGAGCUUGCGGAGAAGCUUCAGGGAGUGCGGCAGCGCUUCCGUUUGUGGAAGAUUUCGGCUUGCCAUUAAGGUGCCAGGGAGGCUUGGGCCAUGGUGAAGACGCGUUACAAGAAGGCGGAUCCCAACCACAUGGCCGAAGUUGGACCUGUGGGGCCCGAUGGGAAGGAGAUCCCUGUGAGUUUAGUAUACAGCCAGGUAGAGUUGGCUGCUAAAUUUUCCCAACGGGACUGUAAAUUAGACAGACUGUUAGAUGGGAUUGAGGAGGAAUACAAUCAGUAAAUUUGACAAUGUAUUUGUUUUAAAAUGACAUGUGAAAUGCCUUCUAGCCGGAUUGUAGAUCGUUUGUCUUUGCCGACCUUUUCGCUUCAACCUCGGGACCCUAGAGUCCGGAGUGUGUCCGAAUACCUUUUUUGGUUAAGAAACAACCGGGGUAUGCAUGGAGACCAGGCGUAGGGGUCAUUAGUGCUUUAUCAGACAAGUGCCCAACUAGUUAUGUUAUAUUACAUGGUUAGUAAGAAACAUCUUCCAGGGAGAAUAGUUCCGUUAAGGGUUCCUUUCCUUGGGAGGCAUGCCCUAAAGUGCAUGUCCGGACUGCGAAAAAAGCAGGAAAACAUCUGGGGGCAGAUAAAUAAAUAGGUAAAAAAAUCAUCUUUCAAGUCACCGACCGAAUAUUCCCUUAAGAACGCUAGCUUUCGGCUUCACCCAGUCUGAGGUACACAUCCGGCUGACCCGGCAGUAACAAUCACAGAGGUGCUCCCUUUACCUCCUAGCCGAACAAUCGGGAACGUAGGGGUAAGCACAGGAGCCAGGCAACCCAGCUUGGCCAAAACUUAAGUCAUAUCGAUGCAUAUAAUGGUGAGUGAAAGGUACAUGUGGAAGCUUGACACAUGUGCUGGGCAUGAAGCCCUUAUAAUUGAGCUUCUGGAAAAUAAGCCCCCAGGUAUAAUGAGUGCGGAUGGCACAUCAAGUGUACGCAAACAAUGCGGAAGUAGGCCCGCAAGGGCUUUUUAGUAAAAAGGUUAGGGGAAGAAAGAGAAACAAAAGACAGCUGGAGUGUAAAAAUUUGAACGGAGGAAGGGGACGAACUCUUAGUCCGGCGCUAGGCAUAGAAUCUUCGGAGGCGGGCUGCGUUCCAUGGGUUCGGCUCGAGUCGGUUGUCCGACGCAUUUCGUAGACGGUACGCUCCGCCAGUCAGGACUUGAUCGAUAAUGAAGGGACCCUCCCAUUUGGGCUUGAGCUUGUCCUUUUUCUUGUCCGGCAGGCGUAGAACUAGUUCGCCAAUGUUGUAAGUCUUGGCCCGUACUUCUCUGCUUUGAUAUCUUCAGGCCUGCUGCUGAUAGAAUGCGGAACGAGCCUUGGCGACGUCGUGUUCCUCCUCCAAUGUAUCCAAGCUGUCCUGCCGAUCCAGCUCGGUCUCUCUUUCUUCGUACAUGCGCACUCGAGGUGAGUCAUGAAUAAUGUCGCAGGGCAGAACUGCCUCUGCGCCGUAUACCAUAAAAAAUGGUGUGAAUCCGGUAGUACGGUUAGGCAUUGUCCGUAGCCCCCAGAGUACGGAGUCGAGCUCCUCAACCCAGUGCGUGUCAGAUUUAGUAAGUGACCGCACUAGUCUGGGUUUAAUGCCGCUCAUUAUUAGACCAUUUGCUCGUUCCACUUGACCGUUGGUUUGAGGGUGAUAGACUGAAGCGUAGUCGAGCUUGAUGCCCAUAUUUUUGCACCAUGACUUAACCUCAUCGGCCGUGAAGUUCGUGCUGUUGUCGGUGAUGAUGCUGUGGGGGACUCCGUAACGGUGUACUACCCCGGAUGUAAAGUCUAUCACUGGUCCGGACUCUGCCGUUUUGACCGGUUUGGCCUUUAUCCAUUUGGUGAAUUUAUCCACCAUGACCAAUAGGUUCCUUUGCUUGUGGGUUCCCCCUUUAAGGGGUCCAACCAUAUCAAGCCCCCAGACCGCGAACGGCCAGGUAAUGGGUAUAGUUUUGAGGGCGGUGGGCGGCAUAUGGCUCUGAUUAGCAAAGAGCUGACAACCUACGCAUCUCUGGACUAAGUCCUGGGCAUCUUCCCGGGCCGUCGGCCAAUAAAAUCCUGUACGGAAUGCCUUUCCUACAAGGGCCCGGGCUGCUGCGUGGUGUCCGCCUAGUCCGGCAUGAAUUUCAGCCAGGAGGUUUCGCCCCUCCUCUUCGGAGAUACACCUUUGAAGGACUCCGGUUGUACUUUUCUUAUAAAGUUCUCCCUCAUGGACCUUGUAGGCCUUCGAUCGCCGGACUAUGCAGCAGGCCUCAUUUUGGUCUUCGGGAAGUUCCUGUCUAAGCAGAUAGGCUAGGAAUGGUUCCAUCCACGGGGCAAUUACUGCCAUUAUGUCGUGGGCUGAAGGUGUUAUGUCAUCGGCUGAAUCGCCGGUUGGCGCGGUUGUUUCCGGUUUGUCAUUUCCGGAUUCCUCUUUGCAUAGUACGGAUGGCUUGAAGAGCCGUUCCAGGAAGAUAUUUGGAGGGUCAUCAUCACGUUUCACACCGAUGCGUGCCAGUACAUCGGCCGCUUGGUUGUUAUCUCGGGCUAUGUGAUGGCAUCGAGUCCUUUAAACCGAGCUGACAUUUUUAGGACAGCGUUGCGAUAUGCUGCCAUUUUCGGAUCCUUGGCGUCAAAUUCUCCAUUUAUUUGGGAUAUUGCAAGGUUUGAAUCCCCUCGCACCUCAAGGCGUUGAAUGCCCAUGGAGACUGCCAUCCGGAGACCAUGUAACAGGGCCUCGUAUUCGGCUGUGUUGUUGGAGUCCGUGUACAUUAUUUGAAGUACAUACUGGACUGUGUCCCCGGUUGGGGACGUCAAUACGACGCCAGCCCCCAGUCCGGCCAACAUUUUAGAGCCGUCGAAAUGCAUAAUCCAACUGGAGUAUGCGCCGUACUCUUUAGGGAGUUCGGCCUCGGUCCAUUCAGCGACGAAGUCAGCCAAAACUUGUGACUUUAUAGCUCGCCGAGGUUUGUAAGUUAUAUCGAAUGGUAAGAGCUCAAUGGCCCAUUUUGCAAUCCUGCCCGUUGCGUCACGGUUAUUUAUGAUGUCAUUGAGUGGUACUUCGGAAGCCACUAUUAUCGAACACUCUUGAAAGUAGUGUUGGAGCUUCCGGGAUGCCAUGAACACCGCAUACGCUAUCUUCUGAUAGUGUGGGUAACAGGAUUUGCAGGGAGUUAACACAGUGGAUACAUAAUACACUGGUUUUUGAAGAGGGAAUUUAUGCCCUUCUGUCUCUCAUUCGACGACGAGUACCGCGCUUACGACUUGAUGCAUUGCUGCGAUGUAUAACAACAUUGGUUCGCCUAGAUUGGGCGCAGCCAGGACCGGAUUUGUUGCCAAUAUGGCCUUUAUUUCUUCGAGUCCGGCAGUGGCAGCAUCCGUCCACUCGAAGUGUUCGGUGCGCCUGAGGAGGUGAUAGAGGGGCAAUGCCUUUUCUCCUAGACGGGAGAUAAAGCGGCUUAAAGCUGCCACGCAUCCUGUUAAUUUUUGUAUCUGUUUGAGGUCUUUUGGAAUAUCCAACUGUGACAGAGCUCGGAUUUUAGUCGGGUUUGCUUCAAUUCCUCUACCGGAUACAAUGAAGCCCAGCAGCUUUCCGGCUGGUACGCCGAAAACGCAUUUUUCCGGAUUCAGCUUGAUGUCAUAUGCUCUGAGGUUGUCGAAUGUGAGCCUCAAAUCGUCUACUAGAGUUUCGACGUGUUUUGUUUUGACAACUACGUCGUCUACGUAUGCCUCGACUGUUUUGCUGAUCUGGGUAGCCAGACAUGUUUGAAUCAUGCGCUGAUAUGUUGCGCCGGCAUUUUUAAGUCCGAAGGGCAUCGUGUUGAAGCAGAAUGGUCCGUAUGGAGUGAUGAAUGCCGUUGCGGCUUGGUCUGCUUCCGCCAUCUUGAUUUGAUGGUAGCCAGAGUAUGCGUCGAGGAAGCACAAUGAAUCGUGCCCUGCGGUAGCAUCGAUAAUUUGGUCGAUGCGGGGGAGGGGGAAGGGAUCCUUUGGGCAAGCCUUGUUGAGGUCUUUAAAAUCGACGCAUAGGCGCCAGGAUUUGUCCUUCUUUGGUACCAUUACCGGAUUUUCUAGCCAAUCCGGAUGUUUGAUAUCUCUAAUGAAUCCGGCUUCCAAUAGUUUGGCUAGCUCUUCUCCCAUUGCCUGUCUUUUGGGUUCGGAAAAUCGUCGAAGAGCCUGUUUGACUGGCUUGAAUCCUUUUAGGAUGUUUAGGCUAUGUUUUGCCAGUCUGCGUGGGAUUCCGGGCAUGUCCGAAGGAUGCCAGGCGAAAAUGUCCCAAUUUUCCCGAAGGAAUUCGUGCAGUGCGGCGUCUACCUCGGGGUUUAAUUGUGCCCCAAUGGAGGCCGUCUUUGUUGGGUCCGUUGGAUGGACCUGGAAUUUCACUAUUUCAUCUGCUGGUUUGAAGGAGGUGGACUUGGAUCUUUUAUCAAGUAUCACAUCGUCCCUGUUUACUGUAGAGCGCAGCGCGGUGAGUUCUUCUGCCGCUAGGGCCUCGGAUAGUGCCUCCAGGGCUAGUGCGGCUGUCUAGUUUUCGGCGCGGAGUGCUAUGUCCGGAUCACUAGGGAGAGUGAUUAUUCCGCCGGGCCCAGGCAUUUUGAGCUUCAUAUACCCGUAAUGGGGUACGGCUUGAAAAACUGUGAAUGCCUCUCGUCCUAAUAUAGCGUGAUAUCCGCUGUUGAACGGGGCCACUUGGAGCGUGACUUCUUCAGAUUUGUAAUUGUCGGCGAGCCGAACACCACAUCGAGUGUGAUUUUUCCGGUGCAGCGUGCUUCCUGGCUAGGGAUUAUUCCUCUGAAGGUUGUGCUGCUUCGCUCAAUACGGCUCCAAUCGAUUUCCAUUUUUUGAAGAGUUUCCUCAUAGAUGAGGUUUAGUCCGCUGCCGCAUCCAUGAGGACCUUUGUAAGUCGAAAGCCGUCCACUAUGGGACUGAGCACCAGUGCGGCUGGUGCUCGGGCUGUUUGGAAUUUAGGUUCAUCGCUGGCGUUGAAGGUGAUAGUUGUGUCGCUCCAUGGAUUUGCUGCUGCUACUUGGUAGACUUCGGCGAGGCCGCGGAUUGUUCGUUUUCGCAUAUUGUUUGAUGCGAAGGUCUCGAAGACUGUUGAUACCGUACCAGUAUUGUGGGAGUGGUUUUCCGGGGCUAGAAGCUCCUCGCCACUUUUGGCCACCUGCCGUAAUAUCCAACAUGCUCGAAGGCUAUGUGUUGGGACGGCUCCCUCUGUGCUGUGAAGCUUACAGGGUCCUUCGAGCCAUCCCUCUAGUACGGUUUCGUGCCCUUUAUGGGGCUUUUGCUUUUUGGUUUUUGCAUCUGGGGCCUGAGUAUGGUGCGCCCUUUUGUUGCGGACUGGGGUUGUAUUCGGGGCCGGAUUAUCCCAAAAUUGGUUUUCGGUUUUCCGGGAACUCUCCAUCGCACAGUACUUUCGUACUAUGGACGCCAGAUCGGUGAAGCGUGUAAUUUUACGACGGCCGAUGGCGUUCAAUAUUCCCUUGUCCGUGCAAUUAUUGCAAAAGAUUUUGAUUGCGUUUUCCUCUCGGCAGUCCUUUAUCCUGUCCAUAACCAGGAGGAAUCUGGCCCAGUAGUGAUGUACUGUUUCAGCGGGCUCUUGCCGUAUUAGAGAUAGAUCGCAUAUGUCUGGGCGGGUGGGUGGACUAAAAUCCGGAUCCCUGCCCAUAUUGGGGCUUAAAGGCCGAGGAGUUUCCGAAUUCGGAAGCUUGGGUUGCUGGACACAAUCCAGCGAGUCCGGAACGAUGCAUGAUUUUAAGUUCAAUGCUCGAUCGAAGUCCGUCCCUCCGCAGAAAUCCGGCAUGGAGGGUUCGGGAAUCCGGACGUGACUAGUUUUCAAUAUAGGCGAAGAGUCGCCGCAUUGUUCCUCUACCACUGCGACGUGGUGGGUGGCCUGGGGAGAGUUAAUCUCUCUCAGAUCGGUUUUAAGCCCAAUCUGAUUGUAGUCUGUAGCAACUCCCAGGGCUGCGAUGCGAUCCAAGAGCUCGUUGAUAGACGAGAGCUCCAUUGGAUCCAGCCGCUCGGCAAAUUCCGAGCUGACGCGUAUAUUGCUUUUGACGACUUGGGAAGUCAUUGUCGAAGCAGUGGCCGGACAGGCGGUCAUAAGAAAACCGCCUAGCCGGAUAGUUUGGCCGGUGGCCAAGGCCUCUUUGGCGAAAAUACCGUCUUUGAAGACGGGUGGAGGCAUCCUUCCUAUCGGCGACGACACAGAGGAACUCUCAAUGAAAGCACCAAUGUCGGUGUCAAAACCGGCGGAUCUCGGGUAGGGGGUCCCGAACUGUGCGUCUAGGCGGAUGGUAACAGGAGACAAGGGACACGAUGUUUUACCCAGGUUCGGGCCCUCUCGAUGGAGGUAAAACCCUACGUCCUGCUUGAUUAAUAUUGAUGAUAUGGGUAGUACAAGAGUGGAUCUACCACGAGAUCAAGGAGGCUAAACCCUAAAGCUAGCCUAUGGUAUGAUUGUUGUAAUGUAUGUUGUGUCCUACGGACUAAAGCCCUCCGGUUUAUAUAGACACCGGAGGAGGCUAGGGUUACACAGAGUCGGUUACAAUGGUAGGAGAUCUACAUAUCCGUAUCGCCAAGCUUGCCUUCCACGCCAAGGAAAGUCCCAUCCGGACACGGGACAGAGUCUUCAAUCUUGUAUGUUCGUAGUCUUGGAGUCCGGCGGACGAUGAUAGUCCGGCUGUCCGGACACCCCCUAGUCCAGGACUCCCUCAGAGAGCAUCAUGCAUAUUCUGCAUACAACUUUAUUUUAAACAAAACAUAGUCGUGGAAAUUGCUAAGCUACUGGCUAUGUCCUGAAUAUACUGAAAUUGACUUCCCUGGAUUAAUGGCCUCAAGGUGGGCGCAAGUUCUGCAUGUUGAUCCAGCACAGAAAAGUCAUUACCCCUAAUAUUUGAUAGAGACAAAGGCACCGACACAGGAUCAUCGCAAAGCAAAAUCCAUUUUUAUCACCAACAAGAAAUGAAGAAACAAAUUAUUGGUGCUUCCUUUCUCUGUAGUUCUGAACCACUACUUGCAUUGUGUGGAUAACAGGUAACUUACAUAUAACAAGAAUGCUUUAUAAUUUGGAAGUAUAUGAUAUAAACGUGGACAAUAGUGUUCUCUCAAAAUCUGUAGCAAUCAAUGGAAAGAAGUAAAAGCUAAUCUCCUAACACAACAAUAUUCUCAGGUAUUUAUAGAGAAUAGGGGUCAUCUUUCUAUGGUAGGUACAAAAUUGACAGAGACAAUGGUACUGCUAGUAGUCAUCCAUUUAAUGCUGCUAUAGAAAGACCACCAAUAGGCACCCCUCAACUAUACUGGAAUUGUCACUCAUAAAUCCAGGGCUAGUAUGCCUAUAGAAGUGUUAGUAAUACAUCAGGUAGUUUUCUUUCCUUUAGAUGGGAUUUGGAAGAAUUAGUGAUACUAAAAACAUGCAGGCGUGAUUAGUUAAACCAUUACCGCUCAUUCUAACCUUACUGACUCAUAACAAUCAAGCCUAAAAACCAUGACCUGACCAUGGACAAAGACAAAGACAAAAUGGCCAAAAAGAAUUGUAACGAUAGUAUUGCGUACCAAUGAAAACUAAAUGGUAGUGUGAUGGUAAUGUGCAUUCAACCCUGGGUUUUUUUAUAGGCCACUUGAAAUUGGACAAGGAUUCAGAUUAGCACCUGAUCGGCAC